This 456-nucleotide long non-coding RNA is filed under the name Coturnix japonica (Japanese quail). RNAcentral's name for it is "lncRNA (ENSCJPG00005003198.1)". Lineage: Eukaryota; Metazoa; Chordata; Aves; Galliformes; Phasianidae. The record is from RNAcentral.
AUGAAAGAGUUAAAGAAGAAGCCAGGGAGCCAAGCCCUAAGCAGUAGAAAACCACGUGGGAGGUACGGAAGUAACAUGAAAUGGCGGCUCCUGAGAGUGGAAUGUGGAGUACAACAAAAUGGCGCCUCCCUAUGUAGGAGGAUCUACCUGACCUGCUGGCUUAACUGGAGAUAUGAGUGUAAUCAAAGGCUGAAUAGCUUUCAGUUGAAUGUACCAUUGGAGACAUGCAAGAAUUCUCUGCAAAGAUGCCAGGGGCUACUCUGUAAAGAAAAUGGAAGAAGAGUGCAAAACCAGAUGAAGCAGCUAUUGCAGUAACAGGUGCGAGAUCGGAGCAAAUGACAGCUGCUAAAACAAAGGCCGCUAAGCCAAUCACUGCGCACUCCGAAAACGCGUGGCUUACAAAGUGUCACAAAAUGGAGGCUCCUCCCUCUGGAAUGUGGACUGAAAGAAAAUGGC